This 253-nucleotide ribosomal RNA is filed under the name uncultured bacterium. Its description in RNAcentral is "partial 16S ribosomal RNA". It matches the Rfam family "Bacterial small subunit ribosomal RNA", at positions 524 to 776 of the family's 1533-position model. The record is from RNAcentral.
UACAGAGGGGGCGAGCGUUGUUCGGAAUUACUGGGCGUAAAGGGCGCGUAGGCGGCCCGCUAAGUCGAACGUGAAAUCCCCGGGCUCAACCCGGGAACUGCGUCCGAUACUGGUGGGCUUGAAUCCGGGAGAGGGAUGCGGAAUUCCAGGUGUAGCGGUGAAAUGCGUAGAUAUCUGGAGGAACACCGGUGGCGAAGGCGGCAUCCUGGACCGGCAUUGACGCUGAGGCGCGAAAGCCAGGGGAGCAAACGGG